AAUAUUGGUCAAUGGUCGAAAGACUGAACCAGCCAUGUCGCGUGAAGGAUGACGGCCCUAUGGGUUGUAAACUUCUUUUGUAUGGGAAGAAAAGCAGUUACGUGUAAUUGUCUGCCGGUACCAUACGAAUAAGGAUCGGCUAACUCCGUGCCAGCAGCCGCGGUAAUACGGAGGAUCCAAGCGUUAUCCGGAUUUAUUGGGUUUAAAGGGUGCGUAGGCGGCUCUAUAAGUCAGUAGUGAAAUCUCGAAGCUCAACUUCGAACGUGCUAUUGAAACUGUAGAGCUUGAGUACAGGCGAGGCAGGUGGAAUGUGUUGUGUAGCGGUGAAAUGCUUAGAUAUAACACAGAACACCGAUAGCGAAGGCAGCUUGCCAGACUGUAACUGACGCUGAGGCACGAAAGCGUGGGGAGCGAACAGGAUUAGAUACCCUGGUAGUCCACGCCGUA
RNAcentral lists this ribosomal RNA (447 nucleotides) under uncultured marine bacterium. RNAcentral describes it as "bacterial SSU rRNA". It matches the Rfam family "Bacterial small subunit ribosomal RNA", at positions 360 to 804 of the family's 1533-position model. The record is from RNAcentral.